Molecule: long non-coding RNA, 827 nt
Organism: Bubalus bubalis (water buffalo)
Lineage: Eukaryota; Metazoa; Chordata; Mammalia; Artiodactyla; Bovidae
Exons: 3
Source: RefSeq, a predicted model, not a curated record
CAGUGUGAUAAACCAACGCUCUCCUGCCACUGAAGCUGGUGGCUUUCACUUGGCCACACAGUAGAAUCACGCAGGGAACUCAGUAAGUCCCGAAGCCAAGCGGCAGCCAGGUCAAGAAAAGCAGAAGGGGAAAUUCCUUGGGGGGUUCCAAUAUGAGCCAAGCUUGUGAACCAGAGUUUUCACGAAUCACCUGGGAAUCUUGUUAAAGACACAGAUCUGACUCAGUUGCCUUGGGAGGGGCCUGGGCAUCUACAUUUCUCACCAGCUCCCAGGUGAUGCUCAUGUGGCUGCUCCAGGGGCCACAAUCUGAGUAGUGAGGUCUGAAGCCUGUGGCCCUCAAGCUUUCAACAAGCAUCAGAAUCACCUGGAGGGCCAGUCAAGAUGCAGAGGGCCAGGCCCACCCCAGAGCUGCCGAUCUGACAGGUUUGAGGUGGGGGCCAGAGAAUCUGCAUUUCCAUCAAGCCUCCCAGUGACCCUGAUGCUGCUGGUCCGAGGACCAGAGGUGUUGUACAUCUCCUUCACCCGCCGGUAGCGGAAGGCCAGCUUCCUCAUCCAGUCCACGCCGCCGUGCACGCCGGAGCCCAGGCACAGGUUGGCUCCCGGGGCCGAACUGUGGAAGCCAUCGGCGGAGAAGUUGAGCAGUCAUUCUGUUUCCUGCAUGCAGUGGCCAAGCCAAGGAAAGCCUCUCUCUCCCCCACUUUGGAAUCUGAAGCUGGAAAGGCAAUUCCAAAAAAGUGGUUGGCCUCGGUUCACCCCGAGAGAAGAGUCCAGAAGAAAAUACCAGUGAGCUCUUGAUACUUUGAUCCCCAAAUCUGCCCUGCCUCACA